Long non-coding RNA from Rosa chinensis, 801 nucleotides. RefSeq lists it as uncharacterized. The record is from RefSeq and is a predicted model, not a curated record. NCBI's taxonomy places the organism in Eukaryota, Viridiplantae, Streptophyta, Magnoliopsida, Rosales, Rosaceae. The transcript is spliced from 4 exons.
AGUACUAUUAGAGUUAUCAAAAUUUUAGUGCGGAUUGGAUCUUUACUUGACUGGGAGUUUACGAUCAUUUCAUUCAUUCAGGGCUAUCCAGAAUUCGAUUUGCCAUCAAGAGAAGUAAGUGCGGGGUUGGAUUCGGGGUUGUGCAAAUUGUUUAAUCUCAAAUCCCAAACUUUCAGAAGCUGUCCUGGCUCUCAAAGCUUGCUCCAAUUAUGUCUUUUGGCUAUGCUUCUAUAGGAAUUUGACUCUCUAUUGAAAAAUCAUCUGGGGGCCGGAAGGAAAAACAUAUGUUACUGGAUUGCAUCAAUCUUCAUCAGAAAAAGUUUGGAGUAUAUUCAUUGCAGCCGGAGACAUCGCACUUCCUUACUCAUUCAGUCAUUUGCAGUGAUCAUCAUUGAUAUCCAAGAAACUGAAGUCAUCACCACCAGAAAACAAAGUGAUGAAGAAGGCCACCAAAACAGGGGUGAUGGUGAUGACAAUAUUAUUUACUUUGUGUGGUACCUUGGGUUAUGCUGCAUUUGGAGAUGAAAAAGUACCAGAAAAUCUCAUGGCUGGUUUUCUAUCUCAUAAGGCCUUCUGGAUAGUGGACUUGGCCAAUGUCUUCAUUGUGGUGCACCUAGUGGGUGCAGUUCAGGUAUUUGCCUAACCAGUGUACCGCUUGAUUGAAGUGUGAGCUGCUAGGAGAUGGCCGAGGUCUGGUUUUGUAACCAAGGAAAGGGCAGUAAGCUUUGGGAAGGUGACGUUCAACAUCAACAUGCUUCGCUUAUGCUGCAGAACGGGCUGUGCUUUUGGCUACUGCGAUUG